AGUUCAGUUUGUUAGUAAGCGAAGCGCGUCGAAGACACGCCUGAUUGUGGUUCAGGAGGUCGCCGGUUCGAAUCCGGUCU
RNAcentral lists this transfer RNA (80 nucleotides) under Flavobacteriaceae bacterium. RNAcentral's name for it is "tRNA-His". Lineage: Bacteria; Pseudomonadati; Bacteroidota; Flavobacteriia; Flavobacteriales; Flavobacteriaceae. The record is from RNAcentral.